UACAGAGAGAAAUGAAAUGAACCAAACCCCAUUAAUCUCCUUUUGAGAUUAAAGCUUUUGAGAAUUUCUCUCAAUUCCAUUAUCCAUAGCUCUUAGCUACUGUUACUAACUAUUUGCCCUUCCUACACUUGACGUUGAAAUAAAACUAAAUCCCACUAGUUUAGAACUGUUUUUUGUUACAGUUUUGUUCUUGUUGAUGAUGGGAUGAUGAUGACGGCGAUUAAAUCUAUGAGGAUUCUAAAAUGAGAUUGGUUG
This 255-nucleotide unclassified non-coding RNA is filed under the name Hevea brasiliensis (rubber tree). Lineage: Eukaryota; Viridiplantae; Streptophyta; Magnoliopsida; Malpighiales; Euphorbiaceae. The record is from RNAcentral.